RNAcentral lists this ribosomal RNA (460 nucleotides) under uncultured bacterium. RNAcentral's name for it is "partial 16S ribosomal RNA". It matches the Rfam family "Bacterial small subunit ribosomal RNA", at positions 338 to 795 of the family's 1533-position model. The record is from RNAcentral.
CCUACGGGUGACAGCAGUGAGGAAUAUUGGUCAAUGGACGGAAGUCUGAACCAGCCAUGCCGCGUGCAGGAAGACGGCUCUAUGAGUUGUAAACUGCUUUUGUACAAGGGUAAACCUGAAUACGAGUAUUCAGCUGAAAGUACUGUACUAAUAAGGAUCGGCUAACUCCGUGCCAGCAGCCGCGGUAAUACGGAGGAUCCAAGCGUUGUCCGGAUUUAUUGGGUUUAAAGGGUGCGUAGGCGGAUUGAUAAGUUAGAGGUGAAAUGUCCGAGCUUAACUCGGGAACGGCCUCUAAUACUGUGGGUCUAGAGAGUAGGUGAGGUAGGCGGAAUGUAUGGGGUAGCGGUGAAAUGCUUAGAGAUCAUACAGAACACCGAUUGCGAAGGCAGCUUACCAAUCUAUAUCUGACGUUGAGGCACGAAAGCGUGGGGAGCGAACAGGAUUAGAUACCCGGGUAGUC